UCUUAAUGACCAUUCUCCCUUCCCCCUGUCGGGAGAACAUGUACUUAUAAAUGAGCGAAUGGGAACUGUGAUGCUGAGUCAGGAGGCAUGCUCAGCUGGAGAGUGGACAGUAUGACCCCGGAUAACAUAACAGAGGGACUUUUUGGAGGAAGAGAUUAUGUAAACACAAGAGUUUCAAAGCCUAGAGAGAGAGAAAGGCUGGAUUGAGCAGGCAGGAAACAGCAGCUCGCUCUGGAGGUGGUCAUUGUAUCACUGUGGCUUCUACUCAAGUCAGCUCUUCCUGAUUUUAGAGAGAAAAAUGAAAGGAUCUUGAUCCCUCAAGGACCCAGAGGACCAGAGGCCAGAGGCAAUCUCUAUUGUACAAGAUGGGUUGGAGCAGAGUAUGAGUUCAAACUGCAUGGUUCAGUCUAAGGCCACUUUGUUGAAAAAAGCGAUACCCUCUGGUAGGGAUUGCAGAAUUCUCUUGAGUCCUUGAAGAAACUUGAGUCCUGUGGAGUGGUUUGCUUGUGGAGUGGUUGACUACUCAGGAUCCCAAUUAGGAAUACCCUCAGGGGACUUCUCCAAAGCUAUGGGAAGAGCCUACUAUGCUCCUUGGAAGUGUGGGCAUAUAAACACUCUCAGGGUGGCUGUCUAUCAGAAGAGUCCACAGAUAAAUGCUCCAGACCCGUUUCUUGAGUGGACAGUUCUAUAUUUACUGAGGCCUACAGUGUUCCAGGCACCACUCAAGGUUCUGCUGGAGACGAAGACUGAAGAAAACAAAGGGUCUCCCUUCAUCAAGCUUACAUUGUAGUGCAAAUCACAAUCAAGUCCUCAAGUUUUUCCAUAUCUCUUUACCUGGUCCUGAGACUCCUUGAAUGCCGUAACUUCAAGCUGACAGAUGAUCCUUUCAACUCAAGAAGAGUCAUAUAUGAUGUCUACCUUGGAUUUAGCUGCCUUUGCCUUUCAUAACUCCUACAUCCCCAACUGACCAAUGUUGAUCCAUAGGAAUGUCCUCUCACCACGUGGGAUGGCGCCCUGGCGGCCACGUUACAUGUUCAUGCCUCCGAACUUGAGUUGCAAUCUGGCGUGGACACCUGAUCCAGACUAAAUCAAUACAGCAAAAUCUUCUUGCCAGAGAAUUUGAAAUUGGGACCCGGACCUUCCAGGUUAGACUGUAGUCUAAAUGUAGCCACAUUUUAUAGCUUAAUAGUGUUUCCUUUUGUCUUUAUCUGGUUCACAUUGGUAUCUGUUACUAUAACCAAAUUUACUUCUUUUUUGGGAUGACCUUCAUGGACUGAAUUCAAGACUGGUUUAGAAAUGGCAGGCUUGGGCGCCUGGGUGGCUCAGUUGGUUAAGCGACUGCCUUCGGCUCAGGUCAUGAUCCUGGAGUCCCUGGAUCGAGUCCCACAUCGGGCUCCCUGCUCGGCAGGGAGCCUGCUUCUGCCUCUGACACCCCCCCCCCAUGUGCUCUCUCUCAUUCUCUCUGUCUCAAAUAAAUAAAUAAAAU
Molecule: long non-coding RNA, 1486 nt
Organism: Mirounga angustirostris (Northern elephant seal)
Lineage: Eukaryota; Metazoa; Chordata; Mammalia; Carnivora; Phocidae
Exons: 5
Source: RefSeq, a predicted model, not a curated record